RNAcentral lists this long non-coding RNA (4226 nucleotides) under Malus domestica (apple). Its description in RNAcentral is "long non-coding RNA (MDOM_LNC016899)". Lineage: Eukaryota; Viridiplantae; Streptophyta; Magnoliopsida; Rosales; Rosaceae. The record is from RNAcentral.
AACCCAAAUAGAUGUGCCAACAAAUACUUGAACAAAAUCAAGGAUUUUAUUGACUUUGCACGUACACUCAACUCGGGUGCAACUACAAUCUGGUGUCCUUGUAGGAGGUGUAACAAUACAUUAAGGGAAACUAUUGAAAAUGUUUGAUUUCAUUUAGUAAGGAAUGGAAUGGUAGAGACCUAUAAUAUUUGGAACCAUCACGAUGAACAAUUAGACAAUGCUUCGUAUUCAAACGUGACAAGAGUGGGCAAUGUUGAACCUAAUAUGGAUCAUAAUGAACAAGUCAUGGAAAUCUUAAAUGACGUUUUUUCCAUUUGCGUCGACAAAUACCAAUCAGGAAGUGGAAGAUGACUUGCCUACACCAAUGGAUAGUGGACAAUUCAAACAAUAUGAAAAACUAUUAUAAAAUGCCAACCAAGAGUUAUACUUGAGAUGUGAGGGAUUUUAGGUUCUCACAUCUAUUGUGGGAUUGAUGCACAGGAAAAUAAAGUAUCGUAUGUCGAACUAGUGUUUUGAUUACUUUUUGGGAAUUUUCAAGAGAAUGCUACCAAAGGAAAAUUGUUUGCCGAAAGACCAUAGAAACGCUUAAAAGGUGUUGAAUGGUCUCGAAUUGGGUUAUGAAAAAAUUCACGCUUGCAAAAACAAUUUUGUAUUGUUCUAUAAGGAGAUUAAAGAGUUGGAUAAAUGCCUGUAUGCAAUGAGUUGAGGUUUAAAAUGACAUCUCAGAAUUGAUCGACGAAAAUCCCAGAAAAAAGUCAUGCGUUAUUUGCCUUGGAAACCUAGGUUGUAGUGGUUGUAUAUGUCAACGCAUACUGCCACCAAUAUGAGAUGGCAUAAGGAAAGACGAGUAAAUCACGAUGUGUUGAGGCAUCCUGCAGAUGUGGAGGCAUGGAAAGAGUUUGAUUGAACGUUCCUUGAUUUUGCUGCUGAUCCUCGGAAUGUUAGAUUGGGACUUGAUAGGAGCAUAUUUAUGCGCCUUAGUUAGCUAGUUCUUAUGCAUGUUUGUUAUGUUUUCUUAGUUUAAAGUAGUCUUUUAAGCUAGUUUCAUGUGUUUUCAGGUUUUAAGGGCAUAUUACAUAAAAUGAUGCAAUUUGGAGCCUUUUGGAGCAAAAUAGAGCUUGGAAUGGAAGUCACAUACUUGGAGCCAAGGGAAUGGACGAGAUUUGAAGAUUUGAGGAGUCCUAGUUGAAGAAGGAUUCCUAAUCAAUGAAGGAUUCCUAAUUGAAGAAGGAUUCCUAAUCAACGGAGGAGUCCUAGCUAAGGAUGGAUUCGUAGUCAAAGAUGGAUUCCUAGAAGGAUGAGGAUUCCUACUCAAGCAAGGUUUCCUACUUGACGAAGGAGAAUUAAAGUCAAAAAAUCAGCUCAAGUGAAGAAAUCUUAUCCAAAACAUCAUCCAUAACUUUAUCUUAGCUUAUCUUAUCCAAACAAACCUUAUCCUAUCCUAUCUUAUCCAAAUCUGAAUUCAUUGAUAUUUUAGCUGCAAAGUGGGGUUCCUAACUAGACUAGGAUGCUUAAAAUUAGAUUUCUAGAAGCCCUAUCCCUGCACACAUAAGGUGCCGCACCUAUCCCCUUUCUAGAACUUGUUUUCCUUGCCUUGCAAGGCUUUCUAGAAGCCUUAUCCACCCUAUCCCUUACUUGCCGCACUUAGGAGGCCUUUUCCCAUUCAAAAUCUGAUUGUUUUAAGCCUUUUCCUGAUGGGUUUUAAUUAUACAAGUCCAUAUCUGAUUCACCUAGGGUUUUAAGUGCCUAUAUAUACUCAUAUAAACCCCUAGAUCAGAUCACCACCUCUCAUACACAUCAAUUCACGCCAGAAAUCAUUCAUUGCUCUCUGCCGCACCCUUCCACCACCAUAUUCCAUAUUUUCUGCCCUAAAUCAUCCCUAGCCGCACCACCCAUCAACCCUAAACACCAUCACACAUCCCCCAUCCAUUCUACGCCAUCCAUAACCCCAAAGAACCUGUCCAAAGUCCAAGUGCCAUAGCAAGGAGGAAGGGAGACUCGUGGAUGCACUUACUGUCCAAAUUGGAUCGUCUAGGUGUUUUGUUUCCUUGGGUUUUAAUGUCUAAAUUUAUGUAUCUUUGCUUUUCGAGUAUGAGGAACUAAACCCCCCUUGGCUAGGGGGGGAUUCGAAACCAUGAUUAUGCUUGCUAUAUGAUUUGAUUACUUCUAAUUGCGUUUCAUAAGUUGUGGAUUCAAUUUACUUAUCUAUAUGAAUUAAAACUGAUUUGUGUAUGUUGGUUGAGAGUGAACGCUUAAUUUUCAUGCAUAAGUUUGAUGCUAGAAUGUAAGGGAGUUUCACCUAAUAGUUAUGAACUUAUAUUCAUAAGUAGUAAAAGUUGUUGAUCACAAUUGCGUUAAGUGAAUUCUUGGCAUAAGUUUCAUGCGCUUUCAUAGUUACGAGUGCCUCGUCAAUACUUAUGAUUUCCAUUGAACGUAAUGAUCUUUGAUUGUAUCUCUAUUAUGCGCUUUCAUGUAGGGAACUUUUAAGGAAUAAUUUGGUUGCGAUGCGCUUUUUCCGUCCAAUUCAUUGAUAUAAGGGAAAUCUGAAAGUUAAUUUAAGCGGACCUAAUUAACUUGGAGUGUUGAGUAUUCAUGGUUUAUUGAAUUGCAAUUAGAAAUCGUUUUGUAUGCAAGUAUAACAUGUGUGGAGAAGAACCCCUUAGCUAGUCUUCCAUCCAUUCUCUUUCACCAAAUUCGUUUUAAAUUUGCUCUAGUUUACAAAGUUUUGUUUUGUUUUUAAAUUCGUCCAAAAUCAAUCCCCCUUUAUUUUGUUGAGUCAUAGUAGUUAGAAAUCACUUUAGUUUGUGUUUUCAAGUGUCUUAAGUCAAGUUAAAACCAAUUUUCGUCCAAGUUGUGUUUAUUGUUCAAAACUGCCCAGAUUGUGGUUUUAAGGCAGUUUUGAGUGUUUCUGGGCUGUUUUGAGUCUUUAGGUUUGUUUUAGUGUUUUAGAGUUUAGUUUUGCUUUCUUUGAGUCUAGUUUAGCGUUUUAAACUUGUUUUUACGUAUUUGAGUCAGUUUUCAAGUGAUUUAUGAUCGGAUCAUAUUUAUAUAUAUUUUUACUUCGAAUUCACUCGUCUUUUCUUAGUUAGUUCCUUAUAUUUUUGAGCUAUUUACUUUGUUUUUGCGUAUUAUAGGAUUUGUCUAGCAAAGAAAAUAAAAAUAGAACAAGUUAAAUUUUAUGUAAUAAAUUCGUCAAAACUGUCUGUGUAGAUCAUCUUUUAAAUAAAAUUAAUAAAAAUAAUAAUAAUGAUAAAUCAUGAUGAUGUUUGAAACAUCAUCAUGAUUUAUGUUUUGUAAAAGAAUGAAAGGAAUAAAGAAAAGAAAAGAAAAAAAUAAAAAAAAUAGAAAGAAGAUAGCAUGGUGGGAUGGUACCAUACGGUCCAGACGAGGUCCAACUCCUUUGUUAGCCUUUCCUUACUUUCCUUUUUCUUUUGAUUUUUUUUAUGUCUCAUAUAAACUGGAAAGCAGAUAAACAAGGCAAGCGGGAAGCGUGAAAAACGGAGACGGAUCCAAGAGACAAAAGCAGCAAGGCUGCCAGAAAGAAAAAGAAUAAAAAAAAAUGAAGAAGACGCGGGGAGAGAUUGACGCGGGGAGAGAGAGACCAGCAGAAAGGCAGAAAAGAAGAAUCCAAGGGAGACACGGGCCCUUGGCAGGGGAAAAGAAGAGUGCGCAGGGCGCGCAGAAAAAGAAAAGUGGGAGGUCAGAAAACAAGGGUAGAAAAAUAGAUAGAACGGGGAGAGAGAGGAGAACGGACAGGACGCUGCCUUUGGCAGCGUGAGAGCAGCGUAAGACACGGGGAAUUGGAAGGAGGGCAAGUCAGGGACUUGCUAGGCGCAGAAAUAAGCACAGGGAAGAAGACUGGGGGGAAAAAGAGGUCAGAGUGCAACAGCCAGGGAAGAAGAGGAGCACAGAGGCAGAGGGCUUCACUCCGUUCUUAUUGGUGUUAUCUUCUCAAACUCAUGAUUUACGUUUGGUUUAAUUUGUUAAUAAUGUGUAACUAAUUUAUUUUGGCUAGAGGUUAAUUUGAAACCAUGAAUAUAUUUGUAAUAUGAAUUGAUUACCUUCAGUUGUGAUUUCUAGAAUAUAAGUGAAUUUCACCUAAUCGUUAUGAACUUAUAUUCACAAGUAGUGAAGGUUGUUAUCCACAAUCGUGUGAAGUGAAUUCUUGGCAAGAGUAUCAUGCUUUUCAUAGUUACGAAUGCCUCGUCAAUGCUUAUAGUUUUCAC